This 253-nucleotide ribosomal RNA is filed under the name uncultured archaeon. Its description in RNAcentral is "partial 16S ribosomal RNA". It matches the Rfam family "Archaeal small subunit ribosomal RNA", at positions 474 to 727 of the family's 1478-position model. The record is from RNAcentral.
AACCAGCACCUCAAGUGGUCAGGAGGAUUAUUGGGCCUAAAGCAUCCGUAGCCGGCUCUGUAAGUUUUCGGUUAAAUCCAUAUGCUCAACGUAUGGGCUGCCGAAAAUACUGCAUAGCUAGGGAGUGGGAGAGGUAGACGGUACUCGGUAGGAAGGGGUAAAAUCCUUUGAUCUAUCGAUGACCACCUGUGGCGAAGGCGGUCUACCAGAACACGUUCGACGGUGAGGGAUGAAAGCUGGGGGAGCAAACCGG